GGAACCGGUUUUCCUACUUAGGUGAAAGUUUUCGACUGCGCCGCCCUGGACGAAGACUACAGUGAGCUGCCUGCAGCUGGACUUCGUGACGUCAUCACAGAAGUGGACAACACAGUGGUGAUCCCCACCCCGGGCGCAGUGUUCAAGGCCGGGCCCACAAUGGCUUCCGACUCUGCCAUACAAGCGCAGUGCAAGUACAGUGAAUACUUCAAUGGUAUUGCUCACGUGCCCUAUCCUGGAGACUGCAGCAAGUUCAUUCAGUGCAGCAUCGAUGAGUCCUUCCAGUUCUUGACCAACGUGACAGACUGUCCGUUCGGCACACUGUGGAGCCCUGAGAAGGAAGCCUGUAGCAAGCCUAGAGACGUGG
Molecule: long non-coding RNA, 367 nt
Organism: Aplysia californica (California sea hare)
Lineage: Eukaryota; Metazoa; Mollusca; Gastropoda; Aplysiida; Aplysiidae
Exons: 3
Source: RefSeq, a predicted model, not a curated record